RNAcentral lists this ribosomal RNA (429 nucleotides) under uncultured bacterium. Its description in RNAcentral is "bacterial SSU rRNA". It matches the Rfam family "Bacterial small subunit ribosomal RNA", at positions 355 to 801 of the family's 1533-position model. The record is from RNAcentral.
UCGGGAAUUUUGGGCAAUGGGGGAAACCCUGACCCAGCAACGCCGCGUGAAGGAUGAAGUAUUUCGGUAUGUAAACUUCGAAAGAAUAGGAAGAAUAAAUGACGGUACUAUUUAUAAGGUCCGGCUAACUACGUGCCAGCAGCCGCGGUAAUACGUAGGGACCAAGCGUUGUUCGGAUUUACUGGGCGUAAAGGGCGCGUAGGCGGCAUGACAAGUCACUUGUGAAAUCUCUGGGCUUAACCCAGAACGGCCAAGUGAUACUGUCGCGCUAGAGUGCAGAAGGGGCAAUCGGAAUUCUUGGUGUAGCGGUGAAAUGCGUAGAUAUCAAGAGGAACACCUGAGGUGAAGACGGGUUGCUGGGCUGACACUGACGCUGAGGCGCGAAAGCCAGGGGAGCAAACAGGAUUAGAUACCCGGGUAGUCCCUGAG